GUGCUCUCUUUGGCAGCAUAUAUACUAAAAUUAGAAUGAUACAGAGAAGAUUAGCAUGACCCUGGCACAAGGAUGACAUGCAAAUUUGUGAAGUGUUCCACAUUUAA
This 107-nucleotide small nuclear RNA is filed under the name Jaculus jaculus (lesser Egyptian jerboa). The record is from RNAcentral. Lineage: Eukaryota; Metazoa; Chordata; Mammalia; Rodentia; Dipodidae.